This is a non-coding RNA of Daphnia pulex (common water flea), 74 nucleotides long. Lineage: Eukaryota; Metazoa; Arthropoda; Branchiopoda; Diplostraca; Daphniidae. The record is from Rfam.
GGCCUGUUAGCUCAGUUGGUUAGAGCGCCGUGCUAAUAACGCGGAGGUUAUGAGUUCGAUCCUUUUACGGGCCA